CUGAGUCAGUUGCGUGUCGCCAAGUGGAACGUGUAAUUAUUUUCUUCUCUAAUUAGUUUAUUUCAAAUGAAUUUUAAUUGGUAUUAGUGCCGUAUAUUAUGUGCAUUCGUCAGGAUUCGUGCAGGAUCUUACUCAACGAUUUUUUUUCAGAUUCUUUUUCAAGUUUUAGCUCAGUUCAUUUUACUUCUUCUCCUUCCUGGAUUUAUAGUUUGUUUUAGAUAAACAACGAUGAUUGGUGACUGGUUGAAUUAUUUCUGGCUGUUGUUUUUCCGGUAUCUUUACUACCCGAAAAAUGCUAUCGAAGGUAACAAUAUUAAAUAUUCUCUUAUAGCUGUCCUCGGAUGCUUUAUAGUGGAUAGAGCAAAUUUUAGUGAAAG
Molecule: long non-coding RNA, 377 nt
Organism: Sitophilus oryzae (rice weevil)
Lineage: Eukaryota; Metazoa; Arthropoda; Insecta; Coleoptera; Curculionidae
Exons: 2
Source: RefSeq, a predicted model, not a curated record